AUGGAGGAAAUGGAGCACAGCGGUUUGUAGCUCUCACGUGGUUGCUUAUCUGCUGACCCACCUUAAUGAUGUGGAGCCACCUUACAGCUGCCCCUGCAACUUCUCUACCUUUCCAAGAAUCCUCUCUCAGCUUCUCUAACCCUGAAGCCAGGCGUAUGUUUAACUCCCACGUGCAGAGCACCAGCUUCCCCUACAGGAGGAUGCCCAUGCCAGUGUGGUCAGAGAUGCCCACACCUCAGAGAGAGCCCUCCCCUGGACUGGAGGUAUAAGGACAUGAGCCAGUGAAAAAAAAUGAUUUCUACAGACAUUAAGAGCUAUCUUGAAGCUGAAUGGACAAAUGUUCAUCUAUACCAUGUAGCCGCACCUGUGGAAAGUCCACCAGUUCAUUUUGAGAAUUCGUGUUAGUAUUCAUGCAGCAGCCGGGGCCUUACCUGGGAAGAGAUAAAUAGCCCCCAAGCAUUUGCCUUGUAAAACCUUGCCAACAACCCAUCAUUAAAACUCAAAGGAAAUGUU
Molecule: long non-coding RNA, 513 nt
Organism: Prionailurus viverrinus (fishing cat)
Lineage: Eukaryota; Metazoa; Chordata; Mammalia; Carnivora; Felidae
Exons: 4
Source: RefSeq, a predicted model, not a curated record